CAGCCGCCGCGGGAAUACGUAAGUGGCAAGCGUUGUCCGGAAUUAUUGGGCGUAAAGGGCUCGCAGGCGGUUUCUUAAGUCUGGUGUGAAAGCCCCCGGCUCAACCGGGGAGGGUCAUUGGAAACUGGGAAACUUGAGUGCAGAAGAGGAGAGUGGAAUUCCACGUGUAGCGGUGAAAUGCGUAGAGAUGUGGAGGAACACCAGUGGCGAAGGCGACUCUCUGGUCUGUAACUGACGCUGAGGAGCGAAAGCGUGGGGAGCGAACAGGAUUAGAUACCCCAGUAGUCCCUGUCUCUUAUAC
This 301-nucleotide ribosomal RNA is filed under the name uncultured bacterium. RNAcentral's name for it is "partial 16S ribosomal RNA". It matches the Rfam family "Bacterial small subunit ribosomal RNA", at positions 509 to 807 of the family's 1533-position model. The record is from RNAcentral.